GAUGAACGCUAGCGGCAGGCCUAAUACAUGCAAGUCGAACGGGAUCCAGAUCAAAGCUUGCUUUGGUCUGGUGAGAGUGGCGCACGGGUGCGUAACGCGUGAGCAACCUACCCUUGUCAGGGGGAUAGCCCGGCGAAAGUCGGAUUAAUACCGCAUGACAUCAUUGAGAGGCAUCUUUCGAUGAUCAAAGAUUUAUCGGACAAGGAUGGGCUCGCGUGACAUUAGCUAGUUGGUAAGGUAACGGCUUACCAAGGCUGCGAUGUCUAGGGGCUCUGAGAGGAGAAUCCCCCACACUGGUACUGAGACACGGACCAGACUCCUACGGGAGGCAGCAGUAAGGAAUAUUGGGCAAUGGACGGAAGUCUGAACCAGCCAUGCCGCGUGCAGGAGGACGGCCCUAUGGGUUGUAAACUGCUUUUAUACGGGAACAAACGUCGGUACGUGUACCGGUCUGAGUGUACCGUAAGAAUAAGGAUCGGCUAACUCCGUG
This 490-nucleotide ribosomal RNA is filed under the name uncultured bacterium. RNAcentral describes it as "partial 16S ribosomal RNA". It matches the Rfam family "Bacterial small subunit ribosomal RNA", at positions 28 to 507 of the family's 1533-position model. The record is from RNAcentral.